UGGCGGCGUGCCUAAUACAUGCAAGUCGAACGCACAGCGAAAGGUGCUUGCACCUUUCAAGUGAGUGGCGAACGGGUGAGUAACACGUGGACAACCUGCCUCAAGGCUGGGGAUAACAUUUGGAAACAGAUGCUAAUACCGAAUGAAACUUAGUGUCGCAUGAUACGAAGUUAAAAGGCGCUUUGGCGUCACCUAGAGAUGGAUCCGCGGUGCAUUAGUUAGUUGGUGGGGUAAAGGCCUACCAAGACAAUGAUGCAUAGCCGAGUUGAGAGACUGAUCGGCCACAUUGGGACUGAGACACGGCCCAAACUCCUACGGGAGGCUGCAGUAGGGAAUCUUCCACAAUGGGCGAAAGCCUGAUGGAGCAACGCCGCGUGUGUGAUGAAGGCUUUCGGGUCGUAAAGCACUGUUGUAUGGGAAGAACAGCUAGAAUAGGGAAUGAUUUUAGUUUGACGGUACCAUACCAGAAAGGGACGGCUAAAUACGUGCCAGCAGCCGCGGUAAUACGUAUGUCCCGAGCGUUAUCCGGAUUUAUUGGGCGUAAAGCGAGCGCAGACGGUUGAUUAAGUCUGAUGUGAAAGCCCGGAGCUCAACUCCGGAAUGGCAUUGGAAACUGGUUAACUUGAGUGCAGUAGAGGUAAGUGGAACUCCAUGUGUAGCGGUGGAAUGCGUAGAUAUAUGGAAGAACACCAGUGGCGAAGGCGGCUUACUGGACUGUAACUGACGUUGAGGCUCGAAAGUGUGGGUAGCAAACAGGAUUAGAUACCCUGGUAGUCCACACCGUAAACGAUGAACACUAGGUGUUAGGAGGUUUCCGCCUCUUAGUGCCGAAGCUAACGCAUUAAGUGUUCCGCCUGGGGAGUACGACCGCAAGGUUGAAACUCAAAGGAAUUGACGGGGACCCGCACAAGCGGUGGAGCAUGUGGUUUAAUUCGAAGCAACGCGAAGAACCUUACCAGGUCUUGACAUCCUUUGAAGCUUUUAGAGAUAGAAGUGUUCUCUUCGGAGACAAAGUGACAGGUGGUGCAUGGUCGUCGUCAGCUCGUGUCGUGAGAUGUUGGGUUAAGUCCCGCAACGAGCGCAACCCUUAUUGUUAGUUGCCAGCAUUCAGAUGGGCACUCUAGCGAGACUGCCGGUGACAAACCGGAGGAAGGCGGGGACGACGUCAGAUCAUCAUGCCCCUUAUGACCUGGGCUACACACGUGCUACAAUGGCGUAUACAACGAGUUGCCAACCCGCGAGGGUGAGCUAAUCUCUUAAAGUACGUCUCAGUUCGGAUUGUAGUCUGCAACUCGACUACAUGAAGUCGGAAUCGCUAGUAAUCGCGGAUCAGCACGCCGCGGUGAAUACGUUCCCGGGUCUUGUACACACCGCCCGUCACACCAUGGGAGUUUGUAAUGCCCAAAGCCGGUGGCCUAACCUUUUAGGAAGGAGCCGUCUAAGGCAGGACAGAUGACUGGGGUG
Molecule: ribosomal RNA, 1464 nt
Filed under: Leuconostoc mesenteroides subsp. mesenteroides
Lineage: Bacteria; Bacillati; Bacillota; Bacilli; Lactobacillales; Lactobacillaceae
Description: 16S ribosomal RNA
Rfam family: Bacterial small subunit ribosomal RNA
Source: RNAcentral